This 755-nucleotide long non-coding RNA is filed under the name Homo sapiens (human). RNAcentral describes it as "long non-coding RNA NONHSAT186649". The record is from RNAcentral. Lineage: Eukaryota; Metazoa; Chordata; Mammalia; Primates; Hominidae.
AGGGCACUAACUUGAGAAUUUAUUUCUGAAAAACAAAGUUUUCUUUUCAGAUGAAAUGGGAUAUGAAACAUUUAUAGAGGGUCUAAUGCAUGCCAGAUACUUUACACAGAUUGUUUUAUUGAAUCCUUAUAACCACCCUAUAAAUAGCCAUUAUUUUCAUUUACUGAUAAGAAAACUGAGACUCAAAGAUUUUCAAAAACUUAUCUAAGAUCAUGCACCUAAAAUGUGGAAGAGCCACAUAAACCCCAUAGAUUUUCUGAAUCCAAAGUCCACAAUCCAUCCUGAACAGUGCUUGGAUGCCAAUUCCUCAAGUUUUAUCUGAAGAAUUAUUUGUGUUCUAUGUAAUACCCCACCUAUAUCUAAGAAGAUCUGAAAUAGCUACUCCUAUAAACAUCUUGCCACCAGCUACCUAGUCAUGCCCCUCAAUGUUGAAGAUAAUGAAAAUGCUGGGACUUUUCCCAAAUGCAUAGGAAGGUGGGAAAUCCAGGUCAGACCCAGACUCCCAAGUUCUUUUAACAGUGCUGUCUACACCAAGGCUAGCAUCCUGGCUGUGAAAUCCACAGUCCCCCAUUAAACGGCUCAGGGAUACCCAGAAUGAGGGUCAGCCAACCGAGAUACAAUUUAAGGAGAGCCAAAAAUCUCCAUCAUCAAGAUAAAUAAUAUUUUCAUGCCACAUUUGUUUUCUUAACUAUUAUGGAUACAUAAUAGUUGUACAUAUUUACAGAGUACGUGUGAUAUUUUACUAUUAAUAGAAG